Molecule: long non-coding RNA, 1025 nt
Filed under: Equus asinus (donkey)
Lineage: Eukaryota; Metazoa; Chordata; Mammalia; Perissodactyla; Equidae
Description: lncRNA (ENSEASG00005035776.1)
Source: RNAcentral
CUUAACAGGAUUUAGUGACUAACUGGAUGUAGAGAGUGGAUGAUGAAAGGUGGAAAGGAGUAAGUUCCAGAGUCCUAGCAUGUGAGAAUGAGUAGAUGAAGAUCCAUCAACCAGACUAGCGAUAUAAAAGGAAGAGUAUGUCUUAGAGGUGAAAUCAUGAUCAAUUUUGGACAUGCAGAGUGAGAGAUUUCUGAGUGAUCGCCAUUAGCCAAACUCAACAGGAAAACAGGGGGCAAGGAAGCCCAUUGAUAUCAUCCAACCAGGUCAGCCUCGAAGGGCAAAGAGCUGAGUAGAGAAAAGCAGAGGGUGGCUUUGAAAUCCAGCCUGAGGAAAGCCUACAUGGAGGAGAAAAGAUGAGAGAAAAUGAAAAGGAGCUGAAUGAAAGCCCUGGAAGAGCUAUAUCCGAAGCCAGGCUAUUUCUGGUCUUUUCAGAUACUUGAGCUAAUCAAUUCCAUUUGUUGUUUAAGAUAAUUUGAGUUGUAUUUUCUAUUUUUCAUAUCCAAAAAUACCCAAGGUGAUACACCAACACUAUAAAGUUCAAACUCAAAAUCUGGCAUAUGUCCACUCUCUAAUAACAACUAACCUAUUUCUCUCUAUAUUUUUCAGCACUUUCAAUAGAACUUCCUGCAAUGAUGGAAACGUUCUAUAUCUGUGCUGGCCAAUAGAGUAGUCACUAGCUACAGUUAAACAGCACCUGAAAUGUGACUAGUGUGGCUGAAGAAGUGAAUUUUUAGUUUAAUUUAAUUGGACACGUGUCUAGCAGCUAUCAUAUUGAACAGCACAACUCUAACCUAAUGAAAUUUUCCUUGAGUAUAACCCAGUCUUUCCACCUUCCUUUGCUUAGUUUGUCCUUUUUACCUGGAGUACCUGAUUGUCUGUCUUCACACAGAAGAAAUGUAGACAUCCUUAUAAGCCAUCCUUAUAAACACAGCCAUUACAAGUUCAAAUGUCUCCUAUUCUAUGACGUUUUUUUGAUCACACUAUGCAGAACUGUGAACUUCUCCAAUCUAUUACUUCUAUUUUCU